AACAACUCACCUGCCGAAUGAAUUAGCCCUGAAAAUGGAUGGCGCUGAAGCGGGCGACCGACACCAUGCCGUUUGGGCAAGAAAAGUCUCAAAUGAGUAGGAGGGCGUGGGGAUUGUGUCGAAGCAUGCGUGCAAACGUGUGUGGAACGGUCUCUAGUGCAGAUCUUGGUGGUAGUAGCAAGUAUUCAAGUGAGACCCUUGAAGGGCGAAGCGGGGAAGGGUUCCACGCGAACAUUGAUUGGGCGUGGGUGAGUCGUUCCUAAGCCGAGUGGCAAUUGCUAAGUAGCGGCGAAAGGGAAGCAGGUUGACAUUCCUGCACACGGAUGUGGAGGCGGUGACGCACUACUGGGACGGAGACGCUGGCGGUGGCGCUGGGCAGAGUUGUCUUUUCUGUUUGACCGUGCCAAAACGAGCUGUGUGGAAUCCGCUUGUCGGGAGAAACACGCUUAUUCGGGCAGAGCGCCGGGACUUUUCCGGCGUCCAGCUCGCCACCGACGGCCCUUGAAAAUCUGUCUGCUGAAUUAAUCCACGCCGUGGCGUACCGAUCACCGCAUCAGGUCCCCGAGGUGAACAGCCUCUGCUCGAUAUGAAAAAU
This 595-nucleotide ribosomal RNA is filed under the name Hypnea sp. ARS-2011. RNAcentral's name for it is "eukaryotic LSU rRNA". It matches the Rfam family "Eukaryotic large subunit ribosomal RNA", at positions 1284 to 1900 of the family's 3401-position model. Lineage: Eukaryota; Rhodophyta; Florideophyceae; Gigartinales; Hypneaceae. The record is from RNAcentral.